ACGGGUGAGUAACGCGUGAGUAACCUGCCUUUCAGAGGGGGAGUAACGUUUUGUAAAAGAAACGCUAAUACCGCAUGAAAUCAAGGAACUGCANGGUUUUUUGAUCAAAGGAGCAAUCCGCUGAGAGAUGGACUCGCGUCCGAUUAGCCAGUUGGCGGGGUAACGGCCCACCAAAGCGACGAUCGGUAGCCGGACUGAGAGGUUGAACGGCCACAUUGGGACUGAGACACGGCCCAGACUCCUACGGGAGGCAGCAUG
RNAcentral lists this ribosomal RNA (258 nucleotides) under uncultured bacterium. RNAcentral's name for it is "partial 16S ribosomal RNA". It matches the Rfam family "Bacterial small subunit ribosomal RNA", at positions 102 to 353 of the family's 1533-position model. The record is from RNAcentral.